GAUGAACGCUAGCGGCAGGCCUAAUACAUGCAAGUCGAACGGGAUUAAGAGGCUUGCUUCUUAUGAGAGUGGCGCACGGGUGCGUAACACGUUUGCAACCUACCUUCAACUGGGGGAUAGCCUUCCGAAAGGGAGAUUAAUACCGCAUAACAUAAUUGAGUGGCAUCACUUGAUUAUCAAACGUCAGGGUUGAAGAUGGGCAUGCGUCCGAUUAGUUUGUUGGUGAGGUAACGGCUCACCAAGACUACGAUCGGUAGGGGAUCUGAGAGGAUGGCCCCCCACACUGGUACUGAGACACGGACCAGACUCCUACGGGAGGCAGCAGUAAGGAAUAUUGGUCAAUGGACGGAAGUCUGAACCAGCCAUGCCGCGUGCAGGAAGACUGUCCUCUGGAUUGUAAACUGCUUUUGUUAGGGAAGAAACUUCCGUACGUGUACGGGACUGACGGUACCUAAAGAAUAAGGAUCGGCUAACUCCGUGCCAGCCUCCGCCGUAA
This 496-nucleotide ribosomal RNA is filed under the name uncultured bacterium. Its description in RNAcentral is "partial 16S ribosomal RNA". It matches the Rfam family "Bacterial small subunit ribosomal RNA", at positions 28 to 523 of the family's 1533-position model. The record is from RNAcentral.